CCUCCUCCCAUUUCACUUCCCUUUAUUGAAUGGGGGCUCUGUUGUUUCAUCGUCCGCAAUGCGUUCAAAGGACAACGGACCCUAUACGGAUUGAUCAUGACUCCACAGCCAAAGUUCUGUGGUUUGCAUGCCCUGCCGAAGAAGGACCUUAUCUAGUAUGCAGAAUAGAUGCUUGGAGUGUGUCGGUCCCCAAGUCUGCACCAGUAAUGCUAGCGUUUGGUGUGCAACAACCGUUUAUGGGGAGUAUAACCUGAGAAACUGGGAUAUACCUCUGGACAAUGACCCAACACACCUCCAGGCUGUGUAAAGACUGUUUGACCAAGAGGGAGAUGGAGUGCUGCAUCAGAUGGGGCGUUAGCAAAGACCUUGCCUCACCUCUUGCCUGCUCACCAACGGUCGUUGAUUGGGAGACCAGAAUUGGAUGCAUUUAUGGAGCCAGCACUUGGAGACUUGCAAGAUGGUGUCCGGAGUGACAGGCUUGAUACUAAAGUCUCUAAAUGGAGAGACCUUUCAUUUUUACUAGACAACAUUUACUUGUAUUGUCUUUUUUUGUUAUUGAAUUGUAUAGGUCAAUAUGGGGAGGGAGAAACCCUGUGUAUUCACGAGGAUCAGGGAAUUUAUUUCUUAUACAGUGAGCACCAUAAUUCAUUGGACAGUGACCAUUUUUUGUUAUUUUGGUUCUGUACUCUAGCACUUUGAGUUUGAAAGGAUACAAUGACAAUGAGGGUGAAGUCCAAACUGUCAGCUGUAAUUUGAGGGUAUUUUCAUACAAAUCGGAUGAACCUUUUAGAAAUGACAGCACCUUUUGUACAUGGUCCCCCCAUUUUAAGGUACGACAAGUAUUUGUUGAAUUUGCUUCACAGAUGUGUGUCGUUAGGCAGGUAUAUUAAUUUGUGUCGUUAGUGAAUGCAGGAGAGCUGUUGAUGAAUAGUAUUGAUUCUAGACUUUGCUAUUGCCUUGGGAGGUUGGGACACCACACAGGAAGGUAUGACCACUCUGACAUGUUUGCCAAGGUACAUGUAGCCUCAUUACCACCAGACAAAAUGCAGAUAAUCAUAGUAUCGGCUGAGAAUGACAAUACAAAGUGUUAUAUUAGCAGAA
Molecule: non-coding RNA, 1101 nt
Organism: Oncorhynchus mykiss (rainbow trout)
Lineage: Eukaryota; Metazoa; Chordata; Actinopteri; Salmoniformes; Salmonidae
Source: RefSeq, a predicted model, not a curated record